Molecule: ribosomal RNA, 255 nt
Filed under: uncultured prokaryote
Description: partial 16S ribosomal RNA
Rfam family: Bacterial small subunit ribosomal RNA
Source: RNAcentral
AUACAGAGGGUGCAAGCGUUGCUCGGAUUUACUGGGCGUAAAGCGUACGCAGACGGGGAGAAAGGUCGGAUGUGAAAGCCCCGGGCUCAACCCGGGAACUGCAUCCGAAACCAUCUCGCUAGAGUAUGGGAGAGGGAAGCAGAAUUCCUGGUAUAGAGGUGAAAUUCGUAGAUAUCAGGAGGAAUACCUGCGGCGAAGGCGGCUUCCUGGCCCAUUACUGACGUUCAGGUACGAAAGCGUGAGUAGCAAACAGGA